GAUGAACGCUGGCGGCGUGCCUAAUACAUGCAAGUCGAGCGAACAGACGAGGAGCUUGCUCCUCUGACGUUAGCGGCGGACGGGUGAGUAACACGUGGAUAACCUACCUAUAAGACUGGGAUAACUUCGGGAAACCGGAGCUAAUACCGGAUAAUAUAUUGAACCGCAUGGUUCAAUAGUGAAAGACGGUUUUGCUGUCACUUAUAGAUGGAUCAGCGCCGCAUUAGCUAGUUGGUAAGGUAACGGCUUACCAAGGCAACGAUGCGUAGCCGACCUGAGAGGGUGAUCGGCCACACUGGAACUGAGACACGGUCCAGACUCCUACGGGAGGCAGCAGUAGGGAAUCUUCCGCAAUGGGCGAAAGCCUGACGGAGCAACGCCGCGUGAGUGAUGAAGGUCUUCGGAUCGUAAAACUCUGUUAUUAGGGAAGAACAAAUGUGUAAGUAACUAUGCACGUCUUGACGGUACCUAAUCAGAAAGCCACGGCUAACUACGU
RNAcentral lists this ribosomal RNA (496 nucleotides) under uncultured bacterium. RNAcentral's name for it is "partial 16S ribosomal RNA". It matches the Rfam family "Bacterial small subunit ribosomal RNA", at positions 28 to 506 of the family's 1533-position model. The record is from RNAcentral.